This 485-nucleotide ribosomal RNA is filed under the name uncultured bacterium. RNAcentral's name for it is "SSU rRNA". It matches the Rfam family "Bacterial small subunit ribosomal RNA", at positions 26 to 518 of the family's 1533-position model. The record is from RNAcentral.
AGAAUGAACGUUGGCGGCGUGGAUUAGGCAUGCAAGUCGUACGCUCCGCAAGGGGCGUGGCGCAAGGGUGAGCAAGGCGACGGCAACCCACCCCAAGGUCGGGCAUAGCCGAGGGAAACCUCGGGUAAUUCCCGGCGACGUCGGCGAGCGGCAUCGCUUGCCGACCAAAGGUGUGAUUCCGCCUUGGGACGGACCGUCGUGGUAUCAGGUGGUUGGCGGGGUAACGGCCCACCAAGCCUUAGACGCCUACCGGGCGUGCGAGCGCGGCCCGGCACACUGGGACUGAGACACUGCCCAGACUCCUACGGGAGGCUGCAGUCGAGAAUCUUCGGCAAUGGGCGCAAGCCUGACCGAGCGACGCCGCGUGGGGGAUGAAGGCCCUUGGGUUGUAAACCCCGUGUCGAGGGGGAGCAAGGACGGUUGCAGAAAUCGUCUUGAGCGAUCCCGUGGAGGAAGCGACGGGCUAAGUUCGCGCCAGCAGCCGC